GACGAACGCUGGCGGCGUGCUUAACACAUGCAAGUCGAACGGAAAGGCCCUGCUUUUGUGGGGUGCUCGAGUGGCGAACGGGUGAGUAACACGUGAGUAACCUGCCCUUGACUUUGGGAUAACUUCAGGAAACUGGGGCUAAUACCGGAUAGGAGCUCCUGCUGCAUGGUGGGGGUUGGAAAGUUUCGGCGGUUGGGGAUGGACUCGCGGCUUAUCAGCUUGUUGGUGGGGUAGUUGCUUACCAAGGCUUUGACGGGUAGCCGGCCUGAGAGGGUGACCGGCCACACGGGAACGGAGACACGGGCCAGAGGCCUAAGGGAGGCAGCAGUAGGGAAUCGGACGCAAUGGGCGAAAGCCGGACGGAGCAGCGCGGCGUGAGUGAUGACGGUGUGCGGAUCGGAAAAAUCUGUUAGUAGGGAAGAACAAAUGUGUAAGUAACGGUGCACAGCGGGACGGUAACUAAUCAGAAAGCCACGGCUAACUACGUG
RNAcentral lists this ribosomal RNA (488 nucleotides) under uncultured bacterium. RNAcentral describes it as "partial 16S ribosomal RNA". It matches the Rfam family "Bacterial small subunit ribosomal RNA", at positions 28 to 507 of the family's 1533-position model. The record is from RNAcentral.